RNAcentral lists this long non-coding RNA (23296 nucleotides) under Solanum tuberosum (potato). RNAcentral describes it as "long non-coding RNA (STUB_LNC006357)". The record is from RNAcentral. Lineage: Eukaryota; Viridiplantae; Streptophyta; Magnoliopsida; Solanales; Solanaceae.
UCAUCAUAAAUUGCAGUGACAGAGCGAGGAGUAAUCUGCUGAGUUAAACACUUCGAAACAAUCAUAAAACAGAAAUUCAGAAGGGAUACAAACAUUUAACAUGACGUAACUAACAACACUGUAUAGCAGGAGCAACAAAGUAUUCCCAGAAAAGAUGAAACAUGAGAGAUCAAAGUUUGAUUAUACUAUAGAGAUGAGAAAUUUGGUUAACUCAUACGAAUUUUGAUGAUGCCUAGUGACUUACAUUACAAGCUGAUAGCCCUAUACUAUUCUUAGGUAGUCAUAAUAGAGAAGAAAGAUUUUCACGUAUUGCAUAUUAACGACAACUGAAACGGAGAGGAGAGGACUUCAUGUUGGUCUCUUAACUAAAGAGCUUUAACAGACUUAAAGUCUAGGCUGACAAGAACUUGACAGAAACUUCUAAAGUAUCGAAUAUGCGUAAAUACUAUAAAUAACUUAGCUAUUUUAGCAAAUAAAAUGGAGUUCUAAUGAACAAAAAAACACAGAUUUAUUAUGUGUCAACACUCUUGAGAGAAAAGCAGUAGUCUAAUCCAAUAUUUAAAAAUCUAUUCUAAUUUGAGUACUUCCACACUACCAUCCAUAAGAAGACCAACAGAAGAGAGGAAAUCGAUUCCAUAUUGAAAAAUUGAAACAGUAGCAGGUGAAGGACUGAUUUUAAGCGCUAGAAAUGAUCAUUUAUACAAAGCUUGGUUGUACUGGAAGGAGUAAACAAAAUUUAGAAUUGACACUCCUCAAACUUUAAAUGGAAUCUGACUUGCGAAACAACAAAAUAACUCAUGAGAUAUCUAAGGUGCAACACCUUGGCCUAAACUUGGAUAUCACUUAGCAGCAGAGAGCAACACAAAUCAAGCUAGCUAAACAUUCCACGAAAUUCAUAUGUAAAACUCAGAAUUAGUAACAUAGGCAGGUGUGAUGUCUUCUAAGCUGAUUUCAACUCGAAUUUUCAUUAACAACACAAGCAGAUACAAAUUUUUAUGGUUUAGAGACAACCAGUUAAAGUGCAAAUCUUAGGACAAGAAAGCAGACCAUAUAAUUUUUUUUUCACAUGGGACUGAUUUAACCAAAUCGUAACCGUAGUAGCUAAGUUCAAAUAGAGAGCAAACUCCUCAACUCGACCUUUAAUCUCAUAACAUUACACUCUUAGUUACAUGAACAUGUAAAAAUUUCAAACAAGAAUAGUGAACUGAUUUCAAUUAUAUAGAUGAAAAAAAUAGCGAUUCGACUUGAGUUUAGUGCCUAAAAUUAGUUUAUGUGUACACAAUACAUAGAGGUAGUAUUUACAUUUAGAGAAAUAAAAACACACACAUAAUCAGAUUGGUAAAUCAACAGUCCCUCUCAUUGACACUAAUCUUUACUAACGUUUUUUUUUUAUAAUUGAACGAAUUUAGAUGGGGCAAAAUUGAGAUAACGACACAAAACUAUAUUCUUAUUUCCAGAAAUCGAAAACAAAAUGUAAGACGAGGGUGAUUACUGACCUUGUGUAGAGAAGCAAACUAAGGCUUUGACGCAAGAGAUUUCGACUCUAAACUUCCUCGAAACUCGAAUUCAAAACAGAAAACAAAAAACAAAGUGACAAAAAGAGAACUUUGAACUCUAAAAAAAAACUUGAAGUGGCUGCAAUUUUUGCUCUUUUUUGAUCGAUUCUUGGGAUCUUUUUCGAUCGUUGCUGGAUGAUCCUUAUGAGAACCAAAUGGGUUCCCUUUUAUAUCCAAUUUGAGAUCCAAGAAUUCAAAAUAUGAAUUCUUGGAAACGUAAAUCUCAGAGGAAACAAAAAAGAAAUCAUGAAGGGGACGACGAAAUCUCUCAAGAAUCGACCUUUUCAAGUCUAUUUGAGAGGGUGAGUGAUUGAUGGGGCAUUUUUCCGGUGGCCCAGACCCCUUUCUCUGAUGGAGGAGAUGGGAGAGCAAGUGGGGCAGCCAUGGGCGGUGAUGGGAGAGGAGCCUGAGGCGUCUGUGGAGAAGACGUAGCUAGCAUAGGGGUCUGAGGAAGAAGCGUGAUUUCUGGAAAAAAGGAGGAACAUGGAGGUGAUCUUUGGAGAAGAUGAAGGGGGAGGGGUGAACGUGAUUUUUUGGAAAAAGAAAAGGAUAGGGCGUCGGUAGGGGUCUAAAAGUCUUAAUUAAUCUAGGUCGUCUGAUUGUUUGAUCGGACGGUUAAUAAAAAUGGAAGGUUUAAAAAUAAUAAUAUAUAUAUAUAUAUAUAUAGAUAUAUAUAUAGAUGGAGAGAGAGAGGGGAUGCAAAAAGGUUGGGAAAGAGAGACAAGAAUGACAUAUAAACGCUGGAUUGAUUAGGUUUUCCCCUUGUUGGCUGUGCCCUGUGGGGUAACUAAACUGACUUUUCAUAAAUAUAGCUCCACAAAUUAAAGACACAUUUAAUUAGCUCUACAUUUCGAAUUUAUUAUUUCAACUCUUACUCUUGAGAAUACUGAUACAUAAGAAAAUAAUAAAGAGAAUUCAUAAUACAUUAUUAAAAAAUGAAAAUUUAUUUAUACUGUGUAAUUUUUGACAAUGAAAUUUGCUUUCGUCACUAUUUUUUUUUUAAUAAAUAAUUAAUUGUGAACUGCAUAAUCAUGAAAAAGUACUUUUAAAUUGAUACGAACAAUGAAUUAGAAUAAUUUAAUCAAACUUUUCUUAAUUCAACAAAUAAAAAAACAUGACAAAGUAUUUCAGAACGAAAAAGCAGUGAUAUUGUAAACAAUCAAUCAGAUUGAUUUUUUAAUGAUUUAAUGGAAAGACAUAGUUGAAGUGAGUGUUGAGAUAUUGGCCAUUAUUAUUAUUAUUAUUUUUAUUUUAUGAUAUAUGAAUGACACAAUCCAAUUUAGGCGACCACCAAAAUAUACUUUCAGCAACAACUUAGCAAAAACUGUUUAUGGAGUUAUGGCCGAACUCUGCCUUCUGAGAUGCCUACAUAUCUCAGGUUUCAUGAGAAAUCAUGCCAUAUGUAGUUCGAGAGUGUAAGAGCAUAGCAAAUUUUGAUCAAAAUUUGCCCAGUAUCGAAUUAUGGUAAUACAGAAAUUUUGGUGGUGAGAUAUGAAUAAAUUAGCACCAAUAGAGGGACAGGACACAGUUCUUAAGAAACUCGAAUGAGAAAUGCUUCAUAGACAUUUCUACUAAAGACUUAUGGUAGAGAGAUGAAUUUUCAAAAAAAUUGCCCAGUGUUGAGUUAUAAUGAACUGAGACAUGAAAGAGUUAUAAGUAAGAUUUAAAUCUGAACUUCUGAAGAUCGAGCCGAGUUAAGUUUUGAAAGUGAAUCCUUGACGUAGCUAGUGAUGCUUGUCAUUGCACUAACUUGCCCUAGUUUGUUGCUUAGAGGGAGUUCCUCGUUGUAAUGCGUUGUCCUACAAAACAUGUAAAAGGGUGAAAAGUACAUGUUGCGGUUCAAAAUUAUAAAUUGAAAUAGUAAUGUAAGGAGUAGAGUGUAGAUGUUCAAACGAUUGUUGAUUUCUCCUUUCUGUGCUAUGAAUGUGAUGUAGGUAAAGUAACUUGUAAUGUAGAGGCCUCCGACUGGCGGGGCUGUUGUAAUGUAAAACCCUGCAUCUGGCUGUGUAAAGCUUGUAAUGUAAAGCCUCCGACUAGCGGAGUUGUUGUAAUGUAAGAGCCAUGUAUCUGGCUGUGUAAAAACUUGUAACGUAACAUUUCAUUAUUGGCGUAUGACAACGUCGUUAUGCUUGCAUGCCCCCAAUCGGUGGAGCUUUGGUGACGUCACUACGAUGUUAGCCUCCAAUUGAUAGAGUGUUGCUUGUUUUGCUUAUAUACAGGCUCUGAUUUGGCGAAGUUCGAUCUAUGUUUACUAUGUACAGCCUCUGGUUGGCGGAGUUUGACGAUGUUUGACGGUGGUCUCCGAUUGGCAGAGUUGUUGAUGAGGUUAGAUUACAAGCUCUAGUUGGUGGAGUUAUUUUGACAGAAAGCUAAUUAUCCUAUUUUCCUACGAGAAUCCUCUUUUCUUCGGUAUUUGGUCUAGAUCUUGAGCAUACCUGUAAAGAUUUAAAUAAAAUAUUCUUAGACAUAAUAUGUAGGUUGAAGUAUUUUUAGGAAAUAAAGUAGGGAAAGAGUAUUUUGGCUCAUGAUUGUGAGAAGUCGAAUGGCGCCUCCGGUCGUGCGGUAUUUGGUCUAGAUCUUGAGCAUACCUGUAAAGAUUUAAAUAAAAUAUUCUUAGACAUAAUAUGUAGGUUGAAGUAUUUUUAGGAAAUAAAGUAGGGAAAGAGUAUUUUGGCUCAUGAUUGUGGAAAGUCGAAUGGCGCCUCCGGUCGUGCCUCGAGGCUUGAUGUUAUCUUUCUUGAUUCCUGCACCCAAAGAAAAAUUUUAGUUUGGGAGGGGGUGUUGAUUUGUAUCGACUCGCGGACUGAAGCCUCAUCACUGGAAUCCUUCGGCAUUUUCUUUGUCCCGCACCUAGUUCCUUAACCUAGAGACUUGGCAGUUGGAAAUUUUUUUAGCUUGUUUUUCUAGCAAAUAAGUAUAUUGUGUAUAUAUUAGGUAUAUAUAUAUAUAUAUAUAUAUAUAGUAAUUCUCUAGCGUUUUUAGAUUAUAACAUGUUCCGAAGUCCAUCGAGCUUUCCAUUUUGUUGACUAUAUCCAACAUAGUCUUCUUGUAGCUUUUACUCUCUUGAUGAAGCUUCCCUAGAUCUUUUGCAGGCACUGCGACGAUCGAGAUUCUUCAUAUUCUGAGGUUAGGCUAACUAUGAGGAAGUGUUCCUAAGGGUAGGAAAAAUUAAUGCAGUGCAUUGAUCGAGCUUGACUCAUGCUGCCUACGUAUCCCCAAAGUAGGAAUCAGAUUGUAACGUAGUUCGAAUACAAGUGGGAGACAUAGAAGUAUGUAAUGCAAUGACCGACCUUGACUCAAGCUGCCUACAUAUCCAAGUGGAAUCAGGUCGUAACGUAGUUCGAUACAAUAGAAAAGAGGAAAAUGCAGGGGAAAAGUAAGAAUAUGUAAUACAAUGACCGAGCCUGACGUAGGCUACCUAUGUAUCCAAACGGAAUCAGGUCUGAACCUAGUUCAAUUACAAUAGGGAGAGUGAAAAACAUAAAAUGAAAUGACCGGGCUUGACUUACGCUGCCUGCGUAUCCAAGCGGAAUUAGGUCAAGACGUAAUUCAAAUACAAUAGGAAAAAGGGAAAAUAUAAAAUGGAAUGAUCGGGCCUGACUCAGGCUGCCUACCUAUCCAAGCAGAAUCAGGUCAGGACGUAGUUCAAAUACAAAAGGAAAGUGAAAAAUAUGAAAUGCAAGGGACCGAAUCCGACAAGGAUUUCCCAUGUAUCCCACCGAGGGAAUUCAGGUCGUGUGUAGUUCUAAAUACAUGGAAAUGAUGUUUUUGGGUUUUCUAAGGAAGACCGGAUCCGAUGUGGGUUGCCUACGUACCCCGCCGUGGAAAGUCAGGUCUAGACGUAGUUCUGUUACAUNNNNNNNNNNNNNNNNNNNNNNNNNNNNNNNNNNNNNNNNNNNNNNNNNNNNNNNNNNNNNNNNNNNNNNNNNNNNNNNNNNNNNNNNNNNNNNNNNNNNNNNNNNNNNNNNNNNNNNNNNNNNNNNNNNNNNNNNNNNNNNNNNNNNNNNNNNNNNNNNNNNNNNNNNNNNNNNNNNNNNNNNNNNNNNNNNNNNNNNNNNNNNNNNNNNNNNNNNNNNNNNNNNNNNNNNNNNNNNNNNNNNNNNNNNNNNNNNNNNNNNNNNNNNNNNNNNNNNNNNNNNNNNNNNNNNNNNNNNNNNNNNNNNNNNNNNNNNNNNNNNNNNNNNNNNNNNNNNNNNNNNNNNNNNNNNNNNNNNNNNNNNNNNNNNNNNNNNNNNNNNNNNNNNNNNNNNNNNNNNNNNNNNNNNNNNNNNNNNNNNNNNNNNNNNNNNNNNNNNNNNNNNNNNNNNNNNNNNNNNNNNNNNNNNNNNNNNNNNNNNNNNNNNNNNNNNNNNNNNNNNNNNNNNNNNNNNNNNNNNNNNNNNNNNNNNNNNNNNNNNNNNNNNNNNNNNNNNNNNNNNNNNNNNNNNNNNNNNNNNNNNNNNNNNNNNNNNNNNNNNNNNNNNNNNNNNNNNNNNNNNNNNNNNNNNNNNNNNNNNNNNNNNNNNNNNNNNNNNNNNNNNNNNNNNNNNNNNNNNNNNNNNNNNNNNNNNNNNNNNNNNNNNNNNNNNNNNNNNNNNNNNNNNNNNNNNNNNNNNNNNNNNNNNNNNNNNNNNNNNNNNNNNNNNNNNNNNNNNNNNNNNNNNNNNNNNNNNNNNNNNNNNNNNNNNNNNNNNNNNNNNNNNNNNNNNNNNNNNNNNNNNNNNNNNNNNNNNNNNNNNNNNNNNNNNNNNNNNNNNNNNNNNNNNNNNNNNNNNNNNNNNNNNNNNNNNNNNNNNNNNNNNNNNNNNNNNNNNNNNNNNNNNNNNNNNNNNNNNNNNNNNNNNNNNNNNNNNNNNNNNNNNNNNNNNNNNNNNNNNNNNNNNNNNNNNNNNNNNNNNNNNNNNNNNNNNNNNNNNNNNNNNNNNNNNNNNNNNNNNNNNNNNNNNNNNGAUGUAAUUCUUGUCUGGGUGUUGAAUCAUCGAGGACAAUGUUGCCAAAGCAUCGGCAAACUCAUUUUGAGCUCGAGGGGGAUGCUUGAACUCAAUCCUUGUGAAUCUCCUACUCAACUCUUUUAUGUAAUGCAAAUAAGACAGGAUCUUGAUAUUCUUAGCGGUCCAUUCUCCUUGCACCAGAUGAACCAAUAAGUCAGAAUCUCUCAUCACCAAGAGUUCUUUGAUGUUCAUGUCGAUGGCCAUCCUGAGUCUAAGAAUACAAGCUUCAUAUUCCGCCAUGUUAUUGGUACAUUAGAACCUAAUCUUGGCUGAGAUUGGGUAAUACUAACCUGUUUCCGAAAUUAAGACUGCUUUUAUUCCAACUCCAAUCGAGUAUGAUGCUCCAUAAAAAAAUAUCCUCCAUCCAUCAUACGACUCUGAUAUGUCUUCUCCUACAAACAAAACAUCUUCAUCAGGGAAGUAGGUCGUGAGUGGCUUGUAAUCUUGGUCCAUCGGGCUUUCUGCGAGGUGAUCGGCCAGGGCUUGUCCUUUGAUGGCCUUCUGUGUCACGUACACGAUAUCAAACUUGCUCAACAAAAUUUACCACAUUGCCAUCUUACUUGUAGGCAUUGGUUUCUGAAAGAUGUACUUGAGUGGAUCCAUUCUUGAGAUCAAGUACGUGGUGUAUGCAGACAAGUAAUGCCUAAAUUUUUGCGCAAUCCAAGUCAAAGCACAACAUGUUCGUUCCAAAAAGGUGUAUCUUGCCUCGUAUAGUGUGAACUUCUUGCUCAAAUAGUAAAUAGCUUGCUUUCUUCUACCUAUCUCAUCAUGCUGCCCCAAUACACAUCCAAAUGCAUUAUCCAUGACAGAUAGGUAUAAUAACAAAGGCUUUCCAGGCUCUGGUGGGACCAAUACUAGUGGGUUGGACAAGUAUUCUUUGAUUCUAUCGGAAGCCUUUUGGCAUUCCUCUGUCCAUUUCGUGGUAGCAUCCUUCUUUAGUAAUUUGAAUAUGGGUUCAUAGAUCACUGUAGAUUGAGCUAUGAACUGACUCAUGUAAUUCAGUCUUCCCAAGAAACUCAUCACGUCCUUCCUAGUCUUGGGUGGAGGUAGCUCUUGGAUUGCCUUUAUUUUUGAUGGAUCCAACUCUAUGCCUUUCUUGCUAACGAUGAAUCCCAAUUGUUUUCCCGCGGGUACUCCAAAUGCACACUUUGCUGGAUUCAACUUCAGAUUGUACUUACGCAACCUCUCAAAGAACUUUCGUAAGUCAUCUAAGUGGUUUGAACUUCUUUUGGAUUUGAUAACGACAUCGUCCACGUACACUUCAAUUUCCUUGUGGAUCAUAUCAUGAAAACGGGUAGUCAUGGCCCUCAUGUAGGUUGCACCGAAAUUUUUGAGACCAAAUGGCAUUACUCUGUAGCAAUACACUCCCCAUGGAGUGAUAAAUGCUGUCUUUUCUGCAUCAUCUUCAUCUAUCAGAAUUUGGUGAUAUCCUGCAAAGCAAUCGACAAAUGAUUGCAACUCAUGUUUUGCACAAUUAUCAAUGUGUAUAUGAAUAUUUAGAAGUGGGAAGUCAUCCUUAGGACUGGCUUUAUUGAGAUCUCGAUAGUCCACACAUAUUCUGAUCUUUCCAUCCUUUUUUGGCACAGGCACAAUGUUGGCUAACCAUGUGGGUAGUUUGUGACCCUCACAACGUUCGCCUCGAUUUGCUUAGUUACCUCCUCCUUGAUCCUUAAACUCAAAUCCGGCUUAAACUUUCUUGUCUUUUGCUUAACGGGUAGACAAGUGGGAUCAAUUGGUAAUACGUCAACAUACUGCUUAAGCAACUCUAUUAACUCUUAUUUUCUUUCAACCUCCAAAUGUAUGUUGACUCGUGUUUCCUUCACAAUUUCCUCAUCUCCUAAGUUGACAACCUCUGUUUCAUCCAUAUUGGGUUUUCUGACUUUUCACUUGCUCGAUCUCAUGUGGUAGAUUUUCAGGCAUCAUGCUUUCAUCGUACUCUUCGUGAUCUUGUUCAUCACUUUCACCUUGCUCGGUAGAUUUGUUAUAUGUCAUAACCGUUGAAAGAAGAUUUUUAUUAAUAUGAGCGCUGAAAAGUGCAAAAUGUCAGUAAAAUUAAAUAGAUAUUUAAAACAACGAGAAAUUUUUUAAAGAAAAAUAAAAACUUUUGUUUCAAAGCAUUAUAGCUUUUAAAAGAGGCAAGCAACAAAAGAUUAGGCAUGAUUUAAGCCUCAAUUUGAUCAUGCGAAUUUUGAAAUAAAAACUUUUUUUCCACACUACCAGGACUCCGGUUGAAACAGGGAUGGGCUGAUGGUCCAAUUCUGCAAGAUUUCUCCAAGUUCGGCAUCACGAAUAGUCAAUUUGCUAAGAUUUAUCUCUUCCUCUUCUCCAGCAAUGGGCACGAACAUAUAUCCUACUCCUUCUACAUGUGAUCAUCACUAGCUUGAUCUGGAAUAAAAGCCUUUUCUGGUACAAAUAUUGUAUUGCUUUUCCCCUGGUGUACUCUUCUCGAGGCAGGCUCAUAUCCGAGUCCGUUGGUGCCUCUCUGAUGCUUCAGCUGGAUUGGCUCAACUAUGCCAUUGGACUUUGGCCCAAGUCCACUCUUUGGCUGAUACCCAUACUUUAACAUCUCUAACGUAACCAUUUUUGCUGCACUUGACAAUUUUGUAUCAUCUGGCUCUGCUUCCUCAUUGACCCUUACAACUUACAUGAUUUCCAAAGUGUGAAAAGUGGCUCCAUCUAACUCGUCAGCGAUCGGAAUAGAAUUAACAGAAAUAAUAGGGUGACUGAGCUCCCCGUGAAUAGUAAUCUCUGUGCAACCCCAUUCAAACUUUACACACUGAUGAAGGGUGGAAGGAACUGCUCUUGCCAUGUGAACCCAUGGUCUUCCCAACAACAGGUUGUAGUUGGAUGAUACAUCCAUUACUUGAAAUAGAAUGGGGAAUUCAGUUGGCCUCACCUGCAAUGUGAGAUAGAUCUCUCCAGUGACACUUCUUUGCGCUCCAUCAAAAUCUCUAAGUUUCACACGACUUUCCCUUAUCUCUCCCAUAUUCACACCCAAAUCCCUCAGAGUGGUGAAAGGACAGAUGUUGCAUCCAGAACCACCAUCAAUUAGAACUCUAGUCACAAUCUUAUCACCACAUUUGACUGUGAAGUGAAACGUUUUGUUGUGCCGAGCCCCUUCUGCAGGCAGUUCAUCAUCAUGGAAAGAAACCUUGUUAGCUUCCACUAUUCUUCCAAUCGUUGAAGCUAAGGUUUCACUUGUGGUCUCUUUUGGAAUGUUCACUCCGUCUAACACUUCCAUUAAAGCAUUCCUAUGAGCUUCAGAACUCAUAAGCAGAGACAAAAUGGAUAUGUGGGCUGGCGUCUUCUUCAGCUGCUCUUCGACUGAAUAGUCUUUAGGCUGCAUCUUUUUCCAAAAUUUUACGGCUUCAGUAUCGGUAAUAUUCUUCUUUGGAUUCUAUUCUUUUCCAAGAACUCUUUGAUUUAGAUCUUUUGGGGCAUAACGCCUCCCCGACCUAGUCAUCCCUUGAGCCACGACAGUGUUGAUCAUCUUGCCCUUGGCGCAUGCUCAAUUGUCCCAUGGGACUGCUUUGGUGUCAUAUUCAGGCUUUCUAGCUAUUAGAGUGGUCACUACAACUCUUGGGAGAUAUGUUUGGACAGUCAGAGGUUCCCUUAGUUGAACAGUGCUAACAGGUUGUGCCGAAGAUGUCAUGGCAUCUGGUUCAUCUAUGUCUAGACAGUCAGGGCCCCCAUAUUCUUCAUCUAGAGUAACCAUGUUGACUUCUCAAUUCUCAAGAUUUGGCAUGGGUUUUUUGUUUACAUUGGGAGGCGCUGGAGUGCAUUUGAUUACUCCUCUCUUGAUCAAAGACUCAAUUUGGUUCUUCAAACCAUAACAAUCUUCCAUGUCAUGUCCUUGGAUAACCGAGUGGUAAGUGCAUCGCUUGUUUCUAUCGAAGUUACGAGGGAUUGGAUAGGGAAGUUUUCCUUCAACUGGUUGCAACACUCCUACUGUCCUCAACCUCUCAAACAAUUGGGCAUAAGGUUCGGCAAUAAGUGUGUAAACACAAGCAUUUCAAGCUUCGAGAUUUGGACGUGGUCUCGGUGCAUAUGCUGGUCUAUUUUGGUGGAUUGGUGCUUGGAUAAGGACGUACAGUCUUGGAGGAUUUUGGUAUGCUGGUGCUCGGGGAGGAUUAUAGUGUGGUUGGGUAUUAUAUACUUGGUAUGGGACGUAUGUGCAACAAAUUGGGGAUUGUUGGGGUAUUGGUGGGAUGGUUCCUCCAUGUUGGUAAGUGAUAGCUGAAACAUCCUCCCUUUUCUUUUUAAUGCCGCCAAUGGAACCCGAUUGUAUAGCCCUACUUGCAUCUUGCAAUGCGACCAUAGGCUGAAUCUUUCUGAAUUUAACACCCUCAUCUAUAAAGUCUCCCAUCUUGACCAAUUCUGCGAACUUCUGGCCCAUCAUUGACAUCAUCUUAUCAAAGUAGACACCUUCUUGAGCUCGAAUAAAGUACUUCGAGAGCUCACUCUCAUCUAGUGGUGGUUGCACCUUUGCGGCUUCAGUUCCCUAACGUCGUGCGUACUAUUGGAAAUUCUCUAAUGACUUCUUCUAUAUGUUGUCCAAUGAGAAUCCGUCAGCAGUAAUUUCAGUAUUGAAUUUGAAAUGAGUCAAGAAGUCCUCAACCAUUUCCUGCCAGUUACGCCAUUUUUUAGGGUCAUGGCGUGUAUACUAGGCGAUUGUUUCUCCAAAUAGACUCCGGAUGAACAACUUCAUCCUCAGCUUCUCAUUUCUCCCUACACAGACUAACUUGUCACAGUACGCCUUUAAAUGUGCGUGAGGGUCACCUUUUCCAUCGAACAUGUUAAACUUUGGUGGUUUGUACCCUACCAACAUGUCAAUGUCUGGAUGGAUGCACAAGUUAUCAUAAUUAAGGCUUUCCGUCCCCCUAGUGACUUGUAAGCUUUUCAAUGCCUUUCUUAGGUCAUGUAGUUGGGAAUUUAUCGAUGCAUCCUCUUUCAACCGAGCAUCUUUCUCCAUUUCUGCAUAUUGAUCAACCUCGUACGGGAUAUUAACCACAGUUGGCGUUGUGAAGGUAGGAGCUCCGGUGGUAUAUACAAGUGGAACAUGUGGCUCAUAGGGAGUGGUGACAUGUGCCCCAAGUAUCUGCUGCAUUGUAGGUACGAUAGGGUCACGAUUAGAGAGGUCAGGAAUAGACCUGACUUCGGUUGGAGAAGCUGGUGGAACUCGACUGUGUGCGGGAGCGUGUUGAGUUAGUUCUGGCUGAUUUGGCAAGUCGGUAGAAGGCAAGCCUUCCUUUGGGAAGUAGAUAGGUGUCUUGAAAAUAGGCAAAGUGGUAGCUGAUAGUUUGGCCAAGUCUCGCACUUGGCGUAAUUCUUCCCUCAAAAUCUCGAGUUCUUGCUCCAUGCGAGUCAUUUUCCCCUUAGAUUUUGGAUGUCUGUCAUGUUCCGAGAAUCUCCGGGGUUCUCAAUAGGUAUCAUUAUGUUUGCAGUAGUGUUGAACUCGUCUUUAUCAGUCAUCUUUCCUUUGGAUCGAAGGUUGUAUCGUGAGUCAGCCAGUUUGCAAGUCGACACAAAUUAACGUACUUUUGGGGAUGAAUGAUGAAAAAGCAAAGAAAACAAAGAAAAAGGGAAACUAUGUUAGUUUGGGAAAUAUUGAAAGAUGUAACAAAUAUGUAAGUGUAACACAUAUAUACGCCAAUUUGACGACAUUCAAAAUGCGUCCUAAUAUAGAACCUCUUUUUGUCUGAGGUAGGCCUACGUUGCAAUUAGUUUGAUAAUAAAUUAUCCAUUUAAACACAUUUUAGAUUUGGAGCAAACAUAACUUUAUUGAUUAAGGUAGUCUUGGAUGUUAGAUUGAGGUAGGUGAUCAGAAGCCUAUUAAAUGAAAGUACGGGGAUGGCCACAAGGCAUACAAGAGGGAUAGGCCACAUGGCACUUUGAGGAGCUUAUGAAAGAGUUCAAAGAAGAAAGAUGAUCUAUGGCCAGGUUGGAGCAUCAUCAUUAUCAUCGUCCCCAUCAUAAUAUGGCCCUGUGUCACAAUCCGAUUUCUCAAGUCAUGAUGGCACCUACUAUAACCCACCGGCAGGUAAGCCAACUCGUAACCCGGAACAACAAGUAAUGGGUUUGAGGGUAGAAACUAAACAAGAGUAGGCAAAUAACAAUAUAAACAGGCAGAAGCAAACCAAAACAUAUACAUAAAUAAAAAUCCCUCCCAAAACCUGGAAGUCACUAGUACAGAGCUACUACAAAAUGAGUACAAGUCCCAAAAGUGGACAACAGAGAUUGGACUGUCUAAGGAAGGUAAAAGACAAGUCUAUAUAUACAGAUGGAGACUGAAAUAGUACAAAACGUCGUGUGCUCACUCCCGUCUCCGGAUCAGUCUGCUUCAAGCUCGAUCAACACUGGCUACUAGUGCCCAGACCUGCAUCACGAAACAGAUGCAGAGCGUAGCAUAAGUACCAAACAAUAGGUACCCAGUAGGCAUCAUAGGCCGACUGAACUUGAAAAGUAAAGGCAGUAUGAAAAGAAGGAAUAACACAAAUCGAAGUCAAGAAUGAAAAUCUAACUAACAAUGGAAUGCACACGAGUUUAGAAAGAACAAACUGAAGCAAUCUAUAAGCUAACUACACCUAACUGGACCCCUUAAGCCCAGAAGGUACACUCGUGCGUAAAUUAAAUAAAAACCCGAACGGACCCCCAUAAGCCUGACGAGUACAUAGAAUAACUAUAACUAAAGAAAAUUGCAUAUGGGAACCCAAGAACGGAGAAAACGAAUCAGAACCUCAACCCCAAUUAGUAAAAUCUGACAGUACGGAGGCCGGACUUCGAACCGGAUGCUCACCAAAAGUACCCAAGUAACCAAUCACAAGUAUUAAGUAUCUGAGUCCGGAACUCUAACCAGAUGCUCUAUAUAAGUAUCUGGGCAAUAGAGGCCGGAACUCUAACCGAAUGCUUUAUAUAAAUAUCUGGGCAAUAGAGGCCGAAACUCUAAACCGGAUGCUCUAUAUAAGUAUCUGGGCAAUAGAGGUCGGAACUCUAACCGGAUGCUCUAUAUAAGUAUCUGGGCAAUAGAGGUCGGAACUCUAACCGGAUGCUCUAUAAAGGUGCUAAUGUAGCUGCUGAAAGAGUCCCAAUCGAUCUAUUCCCAUAAAUGUCCGUGGAUCGCCGUCCACACCUAGCCAAUCAAUGUAAGUCCUUGGAACCGAAUUGAAAAUCAAAUUCAAAUCGCGAAGCAUAACUAGUGUCGUCGACGUAACUCUUGAAGCUGUAACAUCGGGGAAAUAAGGAUAACUAUCAUCAGAGCAAACGUAUCGCCUAGCUAAGGCCCAAACUAUCAGGCUCAAGUCUGCUACACUAUUCUACAGGGAUCUAAGCCGGCCGAGCGACGUUGGGGCAAAACUAAGGCCUAUCAGAUCUGAAUCAUGUAUUUCUAAGGCAAGCCCUAGUCAAACCUAAACUAAGGCCCAAAUGCUUCAACAAAUAGUCAUCGAGCAUACAAGUAUUCCACAUAGCAAAGAGGGACAAUUAAUAACACAAAUCAUGCUCACAGUUACCCGAUCAUUCCCGAAAUAGGCCAAAAACAUGAUUUCUAAACACCUAUGCAUGAUUCAAUCACUACCAACCCAAAUCCUAACUAAUCAAUAUGCAUUCACACUCUCAAGCUCAAUCUAAGAGAGGGAAACCGUAACCUACCUGUAGGUCGGUCACACGCGCCCCAAAAUCACUUUUCCAGAGCUUUCCCUUUCCAAACGUCCUCAAAACGCUGCCCCGCUAUCAAAAGUAGAGUCGCAACGUUAUUACGGUCGUUUAGACACCAAAAUCACAAUAAACGGAGACAGACCAAUUUUGGGGUCAAAACGGGGAAAGUAGGACCCGCGCUGGAAAUUCCGGAAUUAACCCCAAAAGUGGGUCCUAACCAGUUCCCCCAGCUCAUGUUCCAAAAUGGGACACAAUUCGGGGCUCGGGAACAACACAAUAUCAACAUGCAACCAAAACUCAAUUUACACUAAAACGGAACAACAAUAACAACAACUAUUUACAAGAAAAUACCAGAAACGAUGGUCCAGAUGCUGAAACCAAUCACACCAUGACGAUCCUCACGAAAAACCCCACAAUCUAGGCUUUUGAAUCACCAGAUUCGCACCUAAAUGACCAAGAAAUCACCUUCUAAAAUUUCCCAAAAAUUGAGCUCGAAAUGAGCUAAGACAGCAGCUAAAACACAACUUUUUACCUCCAACAAAAAUUUAAAUAAAAAAUCUAACCACGCAAACACAUUCUCCUUGAAAAACCACUCAAGAUAGCCCCAAGAAUCACCGAAAUCGGAUCUAAAAUGACUGAGAUAUCAAGUCUCAAAAAUUCCCAAAAUCAAGCUCACAAAAAGGGUGUGGCAGUAGGUAUUUCAUGAAAUUUACCUCAAAUGGAGACCCCAAAUCAGUUUCCGAGCUCACUAACGCGUUCCUUGCGAAAAACCCCACAAGAUGGACCUUCGAAUCACUGAAAUCGAACUUGAAAUUAGAGAGUUAUAAAGGUUUGAAGUUGAGAAAUGGGGGCUGAAAUAUCACCUGCACCAGCUAUAUAUAUAUUAGCUGAAAAGCUGAUUUUUGCCAACUUUAAAAUGUCUGACGGGGUGUUCGGGAUUCGUUCGGAACCCGAUAAAGAUAAAACAGAUAUUCUACCCAACUAAAUUUGAUAUUCCAGACUCAACGGCGCACUUGAAAUUCCCAUCAGAGGUCAUCUCGAUAAAAAGUGGGUCCCACUUCCAAAUGUUAUUUUAACCAAAAUCCACUAAGGGGCUCGAAAUGAGUCCGGAGGCCUCGGGAGUCGAACGAAAGGUCGUUCUAGACCAAACUCAACAUUCCGGAGCUAACCGCGCUGAUGAAAUUUUCAUCUAAGCACGUUUUUCAAGAAUGUUGACCAAAGUCAACCAUAGGCCAAAUUUCAAAGGCUAAAACGCCUAAUGGUCCAAACUCGCAUCGAAGGCCUCGAUACUCGUUCCAACUAUACUAUCAGCCUAAUUUGGCCACUCCGGAGCUGAUGGAACCAUCAAAAUUCUCUUCUGAGGUCGUCUUCUUAAACUUUUGAUCGAAAAUGAUCGUUCAAGGUUUAUAAGCUCCAAAACACAAAAACUCGCACUAAGACCAAACGAACGACCAGCUGACCGAACUGUCAGUCCCAGCAAGUCAUAAAUGACUUGGGGUCACUACAGGAAUGCUCUAAACGACACAUAGAAUGCAAGACACAGAAAUGACCAGGAGGGUCAUUACACCCUAGGUGGUACUCUGGAGACUCUUCAAGGCCGUGCUUGGGUGACAUAUCUAUCACCCCUCCAUCUCUUAGGUCAUAGAUAUUAGAACCCAUUUCAGAAACCUCCAUGUGGUCUUCCUCCACCUCUUCUUCUCGGUCCUCUUCAGGAUCCUUUUAUGGGUCUUCUUCGGGAUCCUCUUCUGGGUCUUCUUCAGGGUCCUCUUCCGGGUCUUCCUCUGGAUCCUCUUAUGGGACUUCUUUCUCUUCUUCUUCUUCAACCACCUGGAUUAAAUAAUCAAUGGAUCCAAGAACAAUCUGAUUAUACAUGGGUGUGGUGAAUCCCAUGCGAGGAAGCACUGAUUCUCUAACCCAAUCAAUCUGUUGGUUAUCUACAAAUCCUUGAUGCCCUCGUACGCUUGGAUGAGCCAUAUGACUCACAACAUUCAGCCAAGCAUAAUAUUCCGGUGUACACCAACUUUUCUCUCCUAUGUCUAAAUCAAUCAUGUAUUCCCACUCAGCUUGCAUAUUUCUUAUCCAUUCUAGUGAGACUAAAGUAAAAACCUUUUCAUGUGAUUCCAUGAUCGACCAUAGCGGAAUGUCUUGGAUAACUCCAAAUUGUUGUAUAACCCGAAGAGGUGCAUAUGGUUGAAUGUCCCUCAGCCCAAUUAACUCGAUAAAGUAAAAAUAUUGAGUCCUUGCAAACGUCAAUCCUUUUAUCCAAGAAAAUUUCUAUUGGAUGGCAUCUCAUGUAAGGUUGUUCAAGAAUGUACGCCACUCUUCCCUUCCUAUCGGCACGCCCACCCAAUUUCGGAGACGAUAUUCGUGGAUUUCGAUCUUGUUACGUGCACCUAUGUAGUAAUCCAAUUGUGGAUCACGACGAUAGAAAUGUUACCUCGCCCAAAUCUGUAGUAGCAUACUGCAACCCCUAAAGAAGUCGUGCCCUCUAAUGCAGGCUGUCACUGAACGAAGAACUUAAGUGAGGAUCAUGGGCACCAAAGAAAAUCUUUGCGGAUUGUAAAAGAUGCUUAUAACCAUCGGCAAUAUGUUGAUGUCGACAGAAUGGGACCUUAUCGGGAAUACCGUGAUUCCUAAAAAAUUCAUAAUGAAUACUCUUGGUCUCAUAUGCACCCAUACUUCGCGGGUACAUAAAAAUUCGUGUUGGUAUUCAUCGUAACCUUCUAGACGCCCAAACCUCUGAAAGAGAUAGUCUAACUCGACCUUUUCACCGUCCACAUAUCUAAAUGACCGAAAUAUAUGCAGAUCUAGGAGAUUUAGAAAAUCACCUGUACAGAUGGCUGAUGGGAUCAUUGGCAACCUCCCUCUAAUUAGUAGUUCGGUAAGACUACUGAACUUUUCCAGUGUAGGAGUGAUCUCAAAAUCCAAGAAUUUGAAAGUUAUGGUGCUCGGUUCCCAAAACCCCAUUAGUUGAGUAGCGAAGACUUUGUCGCAUUGUAUCCCUAAAAGUAACAAUAAUGCUUCCAAAUGCCCUCGAUUCUCAGCCCCAUGUAUCCUGCGAAUUUUUUGCCACCAAUUAUGUAGGAUGUGUGGCACUGAAACGACCAUUUGGAUAUUCGGCAAGUCUUGGUUGAGGUUCAUUUGAAAAGAGGGUAAAGGGUGUGAUGAGUUUAUUUGCUCCAAAUCUGUAAAGUGUUUUAGUUUGGAUAAUUUAAAUCAAUUUCACACAAAAUGUAUGUCAUCAAGUUUUAAAGAAGAAACUCAUUGACAUUUGGGUGGUUUCCUAAACACAACGACAAUACCUCAUAUUAUCUUGCCUAAGGCUAUGCAACAUGACCUAUUUCUAGAGUAUGAUUUUUUCCUAGAUGAUUGAGAGUGACACUGGUAAUUGCGAGAGGGCGCACUAUCUUAAUUGCACCAACUCUGAAACUAAGGAAUCCAAAGAGAGUUUCGGAGGAGUGCAGGAACACCCCUCGCGUGUUCAGUGUGUUUUGGGUACGGCUAAAAACUCGAUAAAAAGUGCAGAUGAUAGUGUAGGAAAUCAGUAACAAGUAAUGUUUUAGAACAAAUAAGGAACACAAGCUUGAAUUUCACUUGUGACCUUUUAGUCAAAGCAAUAUAUCAAUAAUAAGCUGAAAAAUAAACAUGUAAUCACAAAUGUUGCUCCUAAAUUUUUUACUAAGGUUAAAACCAUUGAUCAUUCCCCAGUAGAGUGGCCAAGCUAUUGCACCCCAAUUUCGAACUAGCCGAAACAGUUCACAACAUAAUAUGGCUGACACUUUGAUUUUUGAAAAAAAUAUUUGUUUUUUUAGAAUCGCCACCUAAAUUUAAAGGUAAAUAUUAGGAAAACUAUUUUUUAAAUGUGUAAAUGUAAACUCUGUUUUGAUUUGCGAAACCAGUGAAAUUCUGAGUAAGGAUUUUGGUUACUCGAGGGGAAGGUAUUAAGCAUCCCUCAGAGGAUAUCCGAAGGUAGUCCUUAAACUCAAUUUAGGAAAAUAUAAUUAGAAAAACGUAUUUAUUUAUUUGCUUUAAAAUCAAUGGUAAGUAAAUUUUAUUAGUUAAAAAAAAAGUAAAAUACAAGGUACGACAUAUAUAUGUCUAUUAAAUAAAAUUAAUAGUAAUAUGUUUAUCAUACGGUAAAAAAAUAAAAAUAAAUGUACUAAAAUUGUAUGACAAUUUUAUAUGUUAAAAAAUAUAGAUGUGUCUUAUAUAAAUGUAUAAUAAAUGUUGAGUUUAAAGUGUGUGAAAAUUUGUUAUUUUAUUUAUAUAUAGAAUUAAGGUGUGAAAGAAAAUAAAAUAAAAUGAGAUAGUAAUCAGGUGUAAAUGUUAGUAGUAUGUGUGAUGUAUAAUUUGAAAAAGAAAAAAUAAUAAUAAUGAUACUAAAUGUCAAAAUAUUAUAUAAAGUUUGUGAUCUUAACUAUAUUUAUUAUGAAGUAUAGUAUAUACAUGUAUGUUGUUUUAAAAAAUAAAAUAAAAUAUAUGAACGUUUGUUAUUUUAUUUGUAUGUAGGAAAAAUAGUCAAUAAAGUAUAGUUAGUAAAAUAAUAUGUACAUCAAAGUGUAGGAAUUUAUAGUCUAUAAAAAAUAAAUAACAUUCGUAAAAGUGAUAGUAGAUAGGAGAAAAACUAAAUAGAAUUAAUACCUUUAUGUGCAUGACAUAUAUAUGUAUGUACCUUUUAUUUUGUUUUUGAACCUCUUGACAUGUCUAAAAUCUCGAUAUAAUUGUUAAGAAAUGAAAUAUUUUGGCAAUAUUUGAUUAGAAAAAAUGACAAUAGCAAAUAUAUUUUCAUAAGGGGUAGGGUGGGGGGGGGGGUGACGUAAAGAAUAUAAAAUAGGCCUAACUAUUGGGACUUAUUUUAUAUUUAUUUUGUUGCUAAAAUGUAAGGGUCUAUUUCCCUACUUACUUUCUUAAGAAAAUAAAAUAAAACUCUAGAAGGUAAUAACCUUAGCCUUGUGUAUUUCUAAAGGUGGUUAUUUUAACCUUUAAAUUAGUUUCAAAUUUAUUUGGGAGUUUUAAAUGAUAAAUUAUCCUUAACAUAAAGGCCUAAAUGAGUGUUGACAAGUAAAGCUAUUAAAUAUUUUGGUCCUUUUAAAAUAACAUUUCUUCUUCCUUUUGAAAUUAGUAUUUUCAAGCACCUUUAGAUUUAGCUACUGCACUUUUAAACUCUUAAACUAUAGUGGUUAGAUAAAAAAUCUAUAUCUUUAGGUCCCAAAAAUUGGUGUUUUAACUAAGAAAAAGAACUACAUUUUUUUUUACACUAAAAUCUGCUCAAUAAGGUUGUUAAGAGGUGCAGUGUUUUAACUUACAAAACCAGCAAUUUUCAAGUAAAAAUAUCUGCACUUUUGUACCUAAAAAAUCUGCAUCAAAAACUCUCAUAACAAAGUGUUUUUUAGUUCCAAAAAUACACAUUUUUUGCACUAAAAAUCUGCACGUUAAAAGCUGCAAAUUUUACCUCUUGAAAUCUGGAUUUUUUCAAACUAAAAUCUGCACUUUUCAACCUCAAAAUCUGCAUCCAUUAAGUUGCUAAGAAAAUCGUUAUCAACUCUUAUUAAAACAAAUCUUAAGUUGGAUACAUUCUUUUUUAAAGAAAUAAAAAGAAGUCAUUCCCAAGUUCACUUUUCUUAAAGGCUAAGCUUUUAUGACAAAAAAAGAUAUGAAAACUUCGUUAGAAAGCGUCGUCCUAAGCGAAAUGGUCAUAUUAAAAACCCAAUAUCUAGAGGAAUGGGAAGGUUCAAGACUAUAUCUUACUAUCUCUCUUAGUUUAUUUGUACAAACCCAAACAAAAUAAAAGCAAGCAUAAAUAUAUGUGAAAUACUCAAUAUAAGGCUAUGGAAAGGAGGAUAUUAAAAAAUCUGCUUUUAUGCAGAUCUCUUGGAAGUAAAUGAUGCCCCUUAGGCUUCAAUAAAAAAAUAAAAUUACAAACAACAGAUCAUGCAUAUUAUAUAAUCAAAAUAGAUUUAUCUUAGCUUUAUGAACAAAAGAUGUCUUUCCACAUAUGACAUUUAAACAUACACGCAAAAUAUGCCUGAUAUGAAUAUGUAUUUUUGUUCAUAUAACCUAUUCUAUAUGUUCAAAUCUGGUCAUCAUAGAUUGCAGUGACAGAGUGAGGAGUAAUCUUGUAACGACCCGCUAGGUCGUUUUGAGCACUAAGACUAUUUUGACUCUUUCCAUAAAAUUUUAAAUAGAAAAUUUGAACUAUUCGGUAACUACAAGUGUAUAGUUGACGAAUAUUUACUAAAUAAUUAAUGUAAUUAGUAGUUAAUGGGCCAAUUAGUAGUUAACUAUUCGGUAUUUUAUGUUUGUCUUGGAUAUUAGAAGUUAUAUUGGGUGUAUGAGUUAGAAUUAAUGGGAAGUUAUUGGGUAAUAAUUAGUAUGUAGUUUUUGGAUUGGAAAAAAAGAGGAAAAGAAGUCAAGUUUUGGAGGUAUUGACCACGUGAUAGGUUCUGAUGGGGGAAAUGACAUAAGUUUUAGUUAGGAAAAAUUAUUCAUUGGCAAAGUAAAACUAUUACAUAAUUGGUUUAUGUAUAUUUUCCGUUGUUAAGGUUACCGAUUGUGAAAUUAUUGAUUUUAAUUUCAGAGUUUUGUGAUGGUUAUUAACUUAUUACUUUAUAAUUGAAGUUUUAAUAAUUUGAGAUAGGUACUUAAAUAUUAGGGCAUUGUAUUAUAUGAAACCAUUAGUUUUAUGAUAUUUUAUAAAUUGAGACAUAAUCUUAAGCUUAAUUUAUUAGGAAUAUGAGAUUUGGAUUAUUUAGUUGGCACCAAGAUUUAUGAAUUUAAUUAUAGAUUAGGGGAAUUUUUUAUUUAGGAUAGACAUAUAAUAAUAUGGGUGUCUACGAACUUGCCUACUUACGAAUAACACAUAUUUGAUAGAUUAAGAACAUUCUGAAGCUUUACGAAAGGGAUAGGCAAAAUCUUGAGAAUUCGUGACACGUGUUCGACAUUCAAGGUAUGUUAAGACUUCCUAGACUUCAUUGAGGGACGUUUUCUAAUUAAAUAUUAAAAAUGAAAUAGACAAUGGGUAAGGACAAAGGAUGGGGUCUCGUACCAAUGGUGUGAAGGCAUUGGUACGAGUGCCAAUGUUAUUAAUGGGAAAGUUUAUUACUAUAAUAUGAUAGAUUAAAAUUCGAGAAUGCCAAAGCAUAUGGGAAUUAGCUGAUGUGUUUAGUGACUUGAUUUCUUUUGUAUGGUUGUGUUUCUUUAUUGAACCCAUAUGUUUGUGAUAAUUUAGGUGAUUAUAUGUCAUAGCGACAUUUGAUUUAUUGAAAUGCUUCAUCAUCCCUUGUUAUUAAUAUAAUAUUGUGCACAUGCAUUGACAUGAGAUUGAGUAUGAGUAAAGGUCUAACACAUGGAGAUCAUCCGUGUUGAGAUUGAGUAUGAUUAUAAUUUGGGCACGUGGAGAUCGUUUGUGCGAGUGAUUGAUUUUGAUUAUAAGUUGGGCACGUGGAGAUCGUCUGUGCUGGGAUUGUUUGAUUUUAUGAUAGUGCGUUGAGAUCGUCCGCACAGACACGUGGAGAUCGUCCGUGUCGGUAUAUGGACUUCGUGAGUCCCCCAUGGGUCAUGAACUCUCUAUGUAUUUUCGAGGAGUAUCAUGUAUAUACAGUUGGGAGAGUACUUGGCAUCUGGGGCAUAUCAUUCAUGGUGUCACAUUGCAUUACAUCUCAUUACAUCCCUCAUUCUUGUUGAUUAUGUGUGUUAUUGGUGGUUGAACAUUUCGUGACAUUUGAUUAUCUCUAUUGAUGAAAACUUUGUUGAUAAGUAUAAUGUGGACAUGUAAAAAAAAAUUAAAGGAUUAUUUUCUUAUAUACUCCUGUCACUACUUCUUUGUUGUCGGUCUAUGAGAUAUACUGGGUACACGUGGUUUCGUACUCAUACUACACUUGUUGCACUCUUUUGUGGUGCAGAUUGUAUUUAGAAUUCAAGGGUAUUUCUUGGAGCUGGAGUCUGAGUUUGGUUUAUCCUCUUAGAGUUGUGGUGAGCUGUUUGGAUGUUCUGCGGCUCAUACCUUCAUCUAUUUCUAUUUAUUAGGUUGUUUUGGUAUUCUGAUAGGAUAUUUCUUAUGUUUAGACUUGUUAUAUAAUUAGAUACUUGUAUUGACUUUUAGAAGCUUUUGUACUUAUGACACUAAAAUCUUGGGGUAGUAUUUCAGUUUUCCACAUUUUAUUUAAAAGACUUAGUAUGUAGGAUAUUCACUUGUUACUUACUUUUCCAUACUUUAAGUGGAAUUGGUUAACUUAUUGGAUUGGCCAACCUAUCGGUUGGGAAUAUAGGUGUCAUCACGACUUGUGAUUUUGGGUCGGGACAAAUCUACUCAGUUAAACACCCCGAAACAAUCAUAAAACAGAAAUUCAGAAGGGAUACCAACAUUUAACAUGACGUAACUAACAACACUAUAUAGCAGGAGCAACAAAGUAUUCCCAGAAAAGAUGAAACAUGAGAGAUCAAUGUUUGAUUAUACAAUAGAGAUGAGAAGUUUGGUUAACUCAUACGAAUUUUGAUGAUGCCUAGUGACUUACAUUACAACCUGAUAGCCCUAUAUUAUUCUUAGGUAGUCAUAAUAGAGUGGAAAGAUUUUCACGUAUUGCAUAUUAACGACAACUGAAACGGAAAGGAGAGGACUUCAUGUUGGUCUCUUAACUAAAGAGCUUUAACAGACUUAAAGUCUAGGCCAGAUUACAAGAACUUGACAGAAACAUCUAAAGUAUCGAAUAUGCUUAAAUACUAUAAAUAACUUAAGCUAUUUUAGCAAAUAAAAUGGAGUUCUAAUAAACAAAAAAAAACAGAUUUAUUAUGUAUCGACACUCUUGAGAGUAAAGCAGUAGUCUAAUCCAAUAUAUAAAAAUCUAUUCUAAUUUGAGUACUUCCACACUACCAUGCAUAAGAACACCAACAUAAGAGAGAAAAUCGAUUCCAUAUUGAAAAGUUGAAACAGUAGCAGGUGAAGGACUGAUUUUAAGCGCUAGAAAUGAUCAUCUAGACAAAGCUUGGUUGUACUAGAAGGAGUAAACAAAAUUUAGAAUUGAGACUCCUCAAACUUUAAAUGGAAUCUGACUUGCGGAACAACAAAAUAACUCAUGAGAUAUCUAAGGUGCAACACCUUGGCCUAAACUUGGAUAUCAC